Molecule: regulatory RNA element, 172 nt
Organism: Clostridium sp. CAG:62
Lineage: Bacteria; Bacillati; Bacillota; Clostridia; Eubacteriales; Clostridiaceae
Rfam family: Lysine riboswitch aptamer
About the family: Riboswitches are metabolite binding domains within certain messenger RNAs that serve as precision sensors for their corresponding targets. Allosteric rearrangement of mRNA structure is mediated by ligand binding, and this results in modulation of gene expression.
Source: Rfam
UAGAAAGGUAGAGGCGCGGACUUUAUCAGUAGCAAAUCGGACAUGACAGGAUGGAUGAUGAUUUGUGAAAGGAACGUCUGCCGAAGGAGAGGAUUGCCUGCACAUGAUUCUUCUGGGCAUAUGGUAAAUAAUCAUAUGACUGUCAUCGCUAUGAUGGAGUGCUACUCGUUAU